GACUCUUCUCCGUAGCCUGGAGGAUAGACCGCCAGGGUGCGGUGGCGAACAACCCCCGGUUCGAGACCGGCUGGAUCCGCCACUCCCGACGCGCCGGCCCCGUGUCCACGACGGAAACCCCGCCGAGACCUAGCCGCGGUCCCCGGAUCUCCAGAUACGGAGGGGAGAUCUUUU
This 174-nucleotide non-coding RNA is filed under the name Human adenovirus 41. Lineage: Varidnaviria; Bamfordvirae; Preplasmiviricota; Pharingeaviricetes; Rowavirales; Adenoviridae. The record is from RNAcentral.